UUCCGGUUGAUCCUGCCGGACCUGACUGCUAUCGGAUUGAUACUAAGCCAUGCGAGUCAUUGUAGCAAUACAAGGCAGACGGCUCAGUAACGCGUAGUCAACCUAACCUAUGGACGGGAAUAACCUCAGGAAACUGAGAAUAAUGCCCGAUAGAACACUAUACCUGGAAUGGUUUGUGUUCCAAAUGAUUUAUCGCCGUAGGAUGGGACUGCGGCCUAUCAGUUUGUUGGUGAGGUAAUGGCCCACCAAGACUAUUACAGGUACGGGCUCUGAGAGGAGUAGCCCGGAGAUGGGUACUGAGACACGGACCCAGGCCCUAUGGGGCGCAGCAGGCGAGAAAACCUUGCAAUGUGCGAAAGCACGACAAGGUUAAUCCGAGUGAUUUGUGCUAAACGAAUCUUUUGUUAGUCCUAGAACCACUAACGAAUAAGGGGUGGGCAAGUUCUGGUGUCAGCCGCCGCGGUAAAACCAGCACCUCAAGUGGUCAGGAUGAUUAUUGGGCCUAAAGCAUCCGUAGCCGGCUCUGUAAGUUUUCGGUUAAAUCUGUACGCUUAACGUACAGGCUGCCGGGAAUACUGCAGAGCUAGGGAGUGGGAGAGGUAGACGGUACUCGGUAGGAAGGGGUAAAAUCCUUUGAUCUAUUGAUGACCACCUGUGGCGAAGGCGGUCUACCAGAACACGUCCGACGGUGAGGGAUGAAAGCUGGGGGAGCAAACCGGAUUAGAUACCCGGGUAGUCCCAGCUGUAAACUAUGCAAACUCAGUGAUGCAUUGACUUGUGGUCAAUGCAGUGCUGCAGGGAAGCCGUUAAGUUUGCCGCCUGGGAAGUACGUACGCAAGUAUGAAACUUAAAGGAAUUGGCGGGGGAGCACCACAAGGGGUGAAGCCUGCGGUUCAAUUGGAGUCAACGCCGGG
Molecule: ribosomal RNA, 914 nt
Filed under: uncultured archaeon
Lineage: Archaea
Description: bacterial SSU rRNA
Rfam family: Archaeal small subunit ribosomal RNA
Source: RNAcentral